RNAcentral lists this ribosomal RNA (253 nucleotides) under uncultured bacterium. RNAcentral's name for it is "partial 16S ribosomal RNA". It matches the Rfam family "Bacterial small subunit ribosomal RNA", at positions 524 to 776 of the family's 1533-position model. The record is from RNAcentral.
UACGUAGGGGGCAAGCGUUGUCCGGAUUUAUUGGGCGUAAAGAGCGUGUAGGCGGCUUCACAGGUCCGCUGUGAAAACUCGAGGCUCAACCUCGAGCUGUCGGUGGAAACCGUGUGGCUAGAGUCCGGAAGAGGAGAGUGGAAUUCCCGGUGUAGCGGUGAAAUGCGCAGAUAUCGGGAAGAACACCCGUGGCGAAGGCGGCUCUCUGGGAAGGUACUGACGCUGAGACGCGAAAGCGUGGGGAGCGAACAGG